RNAcentral lists this unclassified non-coding RNA (2481 nucleotides) under Leishmania donovani. RNAcentral's name for it is "gene:LdHU3.36.2310(CDS-product:Protein_of_unknown _function_(DUF2419)_putative)". Lineage: Eukaryota; Euglenozoa; Kinetoplastea; Trypanosomatida; Trypanosomatidae. The record is from RNAcentral.
GCAACAGCAGGAGGGAGGCCGACCUCCCGAUUGCACCCUCCUGCCGUCUCUCUAUCCUCUGUGUCACCUCCCAUCCCCCAAAUGGCGCACAGCGUGCCCCCUUCUUACACGGGUGAGUCUGUGCGCAGCUCCAUUUGCCGUCUCUACGGCCAGCGCUCCGACGUGCCUCUCACCGUUCUGCAUGCCACCGUCCCACCGGUGGCGGCAAGCCUCGCCCAACAGAGUUCAGACGUCCUCGACGCUAUCCUCAACUGCAUUCACAACCAGCUGUACUCCAAGCACUCAGCCGUGGGCGAAAAUGUGGACACGCGCUCUUCCGCGAUAACGAACCACUGGCUGCUGAGCGUGCCCGAGUCGCUGCGGUUUGAUGAGGCGGCAGUGGUGAACUACCUUGGUAUGGUGGUGGCAAUCGACUUCUGCCACUGGGCCGAGGUGCCGUGCGAGGCUGGCGGGACCGCCAUCGCUAGCGUAGGAGAGGAGGUGACAGGGUUUGCAGGGUUUUACGCUGCUGUUGAUCCGCCGAGCGUGGCGUCGGCACUGGGGAAUGGAGGCACAACUGAUAUCGCUGCGGUCGUAGAGUUAUUCACCGAGCCGCCGAGCGCAGCCCCAAAGGAACUUGGCACACUACCAACGGCCGCUGCCGCUGCUCCGACGCUGCUGCGGGGCUCCGCAGCUAUGAUGUAUCUCCUCCGCCGCGCUGUGGAGGUGCACCGCCUUCCGUGGUUUUGCCCUGAAUUCCUUCAGCGCUUUCGUGGGGAUACGGCGGCGGCAACGAGUGCGCUGCGCGUAUGCUUCCUCGGAUGCGAACAGGACGGCGUCACCCCGCUGUGGAUGCCGUGCACCCGCGAGCGCGUCGAGCUUCUGCUGUCGCUGGCCGAUGCUUUUGUCGCGCGCCAAACGUCAUACUACAAAUUGCUUCGCGCGUGUGGCGGCUUCCUUUUCGCGCCUGACGCAGCGGCGGCCGCCACGGCGCCUUGUGGAUUUGUGCCGACCCUCGUGCGGCUUCACCCACGAUAUGCCGACUUUGCGCGUGUGCCUGUGGAAGGGCCUGGCUGCCUUGGCGGGAAUACCGGCGAGACCUCCCCAGAUGUGUGCAUUGUGCCAGUGUUGAAGCUCAGCCAGCUGACGGCGUUGGCGAUCGAGCAAGCGCUGCCGGCGUUGUGGCGGUACCAGGCUGCGAGCAGCGCUUCUUCAAAAUCGCCGCUCUCUAAACCUCCGCCUUCCGCCCCUGCGAACUCCUGGCUGACGGAUCGAGCCGCUCGCAUCGCGCGCGCCGGUGCCGAGUCCCGCACGACAGAGCCGGAAUCGUCGCUCUCCGGCGUCUUCGCCGACAGCGCAAAGCUGUCCAUCUGCUGCGAUUAUCAAAUUCCCAAGGCGCUGCGCGCAGCGGGACUGCUAGUCUACGACGACCACCUCGCUCGCAUUGUGGACAGGCACGUUCUCCUACUGCCGGGCUCGGCAGAGGAGGUGUCCAUCCGCGUGGCAACCUUGAUCGCCGCAGAGCGUCUCUUGCAGUUUCUCAACACACCGCCGCAGCGACAGUCGUCGCUUGCAAGGGAGCCUGGCUCCACGGCAGCAGAGGUGCCAGGGGCCCCGGCGCAGCUACCAGUGAAGAGGCUGUGCAGUGUGAUCCACCUCGACUACGCAUUGUGGUACGUGGGACGCUAUAUGCUCCCAAGUGAGGCGCGCCAUCAUCUGUGCCGAACCAUCAUGUACUGAGCAUGCAAACCUGAAAGAAACUGUGGUCGUGUCGCGCGGCGUAUGCAAGGAGGACAUGCGAGAACUCUCUGCCCGCCAUCGCAGCUGGCGAUAGGAUGGCGGUUGCACUGUGUUUUUUUUUUGGAUCACUACCCUGCAUCUAUCGCUUCCUCGUCACUGCCCUCCGCCACUACGCAGGAAUAGGAGAAGGUGGUGCGUGGCUCGCUUAGCGGUGCAACUCACCAGCAGCGCGUUUUCGGCUCCCCUUCCCUGUUGACUAACGACGAAACAGGCGGUGAGGAGAUGCCCCCCCCCCCUUUUCCCACACUUCCCCGAAAAAAAGAGGCAGACCUUGGACAACAGGAAACCAGCAAAGGCAGGUGAAACGGGAAAGAGGCAAUGCCGGCAUGCCAGUGCUGAGGCGUUGGCUGAGGGAGAGAGAGCGGAUGGUCAUGGCCGGUGCGUUCGAGGACACACAUGACUCUCUCUCUCCCCCUUCCCAAUCCUCCCCCAUUCUCCCAGCAGCGUUGGACGCGCCAGCGCCCUUCUCCGUCCGCCCGGCUCCUCCUCUCGAUGUGUUCCAUGAGGUGGCUGUCCCGCUUUCUUUCGUCUGUUUGGCCUAUUCAUUCUUGUGCAACCCCCCUGCCUCUCCGCACCGCCUGUUCACCUCCACUUCUGUGUCUCUGGUUUACUCUCUGAUUAUGCGCCGACACCAAAAACGCACGUUGGCGUCGUCGUUGCACGGCCCUUUUUUUUGUUCAUUUUUUUUUUCUUCGGCCCAAG